UAUCUUCGUCGCGGAGUUAUUCUGACUAAAGAUAAUCUUAUUAAGAGAAAUUGGCAUGGAAGUCCGCAAUGUGUGUUUUUUCACCAUGAUGAGACAAUAAAAUAUUUAUUCUUCCAUUGCAAAUUUGUUCGUUCUACAUGGUUAGUCUUUCAAAUAGCUUCUGGCUUGUUUCCUCUUACUAGUGUUGCCAAUAUAUUUGGCAACUGGUUACAUGGGAUUGGUCACAGUUUUCGAACUCUUCUCAGGGUGAGAGUGUUCUCCGUUAUUUGGUCGCUUUGGCUAUGUAGAAAUGAUAAAGUUUUUGAUAAAAGUACUUCUCUGAUGCAGGUUAUCGUUUAUCGUUCUCUCUACAACGUGUGGAGAAUCGAGACGUGUUCGCGGAGGUGUGUGCAUGAUUGA
RNAcentral lists this ribosomal RNA (399 nucleotides) under Triticum aestivum (bread wheat). Its description in RNAcentral is "partial small subunit ribosomal RNA". The record is from RNAcentral. Lineage: Eukaryota; Viridiplantae; Streptophyta; Magnoliopsida; Poales; Poaceae.